AGGAACUUAGGAUAUAUCAAACCAGUUGCCUUCAAAGCCACUAAAAAGAGUACUACCUCUUAGUUCCU
This 68-nucleotide transfer RNA is filed under the name Brookesia lineata. RNAcentral's name for it is "partial tRNA-Trp". Lineage: Eukaryota; Metazoa; Chordata; Lepidosauria; Squamata; Chamaeleonidae. The record is from RNAcentral.